ACUGAUGCUUCAUCUCCCCAGUUACCUCCAUGUUCAAUUGCUUAUGGUCUGUCGCAACUUGACAGCACAAUGCCUGUCAUGAAGAGGGAGCUCAGCAAGUAACAACUCCGUCUGGACACCUUUUCCCCCACAGCCGAAGGAAAAGCGAAAUUUGGGAAGCUACAAUCAAGGUCAUUUGGGAAGUAGGACCCAGUGUAUUAGCAUUACCUAUGGGUGUCCACAUAGAGAUUUAUAGACACAGGAAAGGCUAGAUCAUGAGAAUGCCCCGUAAAGAGGCACCACGUUUCACCAGGGAGAAAUGCAUCCAAGUUACCUCACAAAUGUUAAGAAAUAUGCCUAAUUAAUUGUAUGGUGCAUUUUCCAUGGUAUUUGCUUUAUUCAUUUCAUGUGCAUUUUGAUUAAAAAUUUUACAUUUUAUUAUCUCUUAUGUUUUUCAAUAAAUACAAACCAGGACUGAUUUUUUUUCCCUCU
RNAcentral lists this long non-coding RNA (471 nucleotides) under Felis catus (domestic cat). RNAcentral's name for it is "lncRNA (ENSFCAG00000045540.2)". The record is from RNAcentral. Lineage: Eukaryota; Metazoa; Chordata; Mammalia; Carnivora; Felidae.